RNAcentral lists this ribosomal RNA (1044 nucleotides) under Klebsiella pneumoniae. RNAcentral describes it as "bacterial SSU rRNA". It matches the Rfam family "Bacterial small subunit ribosomal RNA", at positions 52 to 1088 of the family's 1533-position model. The record is from RNAcentral. Lineage: Bacteria; Pseudomonadati; Pseudomonadota; Gammaproteobacteria; Enterobacterales; Enterobacteriaceae.
CACAUGCAGUCGAGCGGUAGCACAGAGAGCUUGCUCUCGGGUGACGAGCGGCGGACGGGUGAGUAAUGUCUGGGAAACUGCCUGAUGGAGGGGGAUAACUACUGGAAACGGUAGCUAAUACCGCAUAACGUCGCAAGACCAAAGUGGGGGACCUUCGGGCCUCAUGCCAUCAGAUGUGCCCAGAUGGGAUUAGCUAGUAGGUGGGGUAACGGCUCACCUAGGCGACGAUCCCUAGCUGGUCUGAGAGGAUGACCAGCCACACUGGAACUGAGACACGGUCCAGACUCCUACGGGAGGCAGCAGUGGGGAAUAUUGCACAAUGGGCGCAAGCCUGAUGCAGCCAUGCCGCGUGUGUGAAGAAGGCCUUCGGGUUGUAAAGCACUUUCAGCGGGGAGGAAGGCGWUAAGGUUAAUAACCUUGKCGAUUGACGUUACCCGCAGAAGAAGCACCGGCUAACUCCGUGCCAGCAGCCGCGGUAAUACGGAGGGUGCAAGCGUUAAUCGGAAUUACUGGGCGUAAAGCGCACGCAGGCGGUCUGUCAAGUCGGAUGUGAAAUCCCCGGGCUCAACCUGGGAACUGCAUUCGAAACUGGCAGGCUAGAGUCUUGUAGAGGGGGGUAGAAUUCCAGGUGUAGCGGUGAAAUGCGUAGAGAUCUGGAGGAAUACCGGUGGCGAAGGCGGCCCCCUGGACAAAGACUGACGCUCAGGUGCGAAAGCGUGGGGAGCAAACAGGAUUAGAUACCCUGGUAGUCCACGCCGUAAACGAUGUCGAUUUGGAGGUUGUGCCCUUGAGGCGUGGCUUCCGGAGCUAACGCGUUAAAUCGACCGCCUGGGGAGUACGGCCGCAAGGUUAAAACUCAAAUGAAUUGACGGGGGGCCCGCACAAGCGGUGGAGCAUGUGGUUUAAUUCGAUGCAACGCGAAGAACCUUACCUGGUCUUGACAUCCACAGAACUUUCCAGAGAUGGAUUGGUGCCUUCGGGAACUGUGAGACAGGUGCUGCAUGGCUGUCGUCAGCUCGUGUUGUGAAUGUUGGGUUAAGUCCC